This 156-nucleotide ribosomal RNA is filed under the name Triticum aestivum (bread wheat). Its description in RNAcentral is "rRNA 5_8S_rRNA". It matches the Rfam family "5.8S ribosomal RNA". Rfam says of the family: 5.8S ribosomal RNA (5.8S rRNA) is a component of the large subunit of the eukaryotic ribosome. It is transcribed by RNA polymerase I as part of the 45S precursor that also contains 18S and 28S rRNA. The record is from RNAcentral. Lineage: Eukaryota; Viridiplantae; Streptophyta; Magnoliopsida; Poales; Poaceae.
GACUCUCAGCAACGGAUAUCUCGGCUCUCGCAUCAAUGAAGAACGUAGCGAAAUGCGAUACCUGGUGUGAAUUGCAGAAUCCCGCGAACCAUCGAGUCUUUGAAUGCAAGUUGCGCCCGAGGCCACUCGGCCGAGGGCACGCCUGCCUGGGCGUCA